UUAGAGCUUGCUCUUAUGAAGUUAGCGGCGGACGGGUGAGUAACACGUGGGUAACCUGCCCAUAAGACUGGGAUAACUCCGGGAAACCGGGGCUAAUACCGGAUAACAUUUUGAACCGCAUGGUUCGAAAUUGAAAGGCGGCUUCGGCUGUCCUCUAUGGAUGGACCCGCGUCGCAUUAGCUAGUUGGUGAGGUAACGGCUCACCAAGGCAACGAUGCGUAGCCGACCUGAGAGGGUGAUCGGCCACACUGGGACUGAGACACGGCCCAGACUCCUACGGGAGGCAGCAGUAGGGAAUCUUCCGCAAUGGACGAAAGUCUGACGGAGCAACGCCGCGUGAGUGAUGAAGGCUUUCGGGUCGUAAAACUCUGUUGUUAGGGAAGAACAAGUGCUAUUUUUAAUAAGCUGGCACCUUGACGGUACCUAACCAGAAAGCCACGGCUAACU
This 447-nucleotide ribosomal RNA is filed under the name Bacillus sp. BACT-33. RNAcentral's name for it is "bacterial SSU rRNA". It matches the Rfam family "Bacterial small subunit ribosomal RNA", at positions 73 to 502 of the family's 1533-position model. Lineage: Bacteria; Bacillati; Bacillota; Bacilli; Caryophanales; Bacillaceae. The record is from RNAcentral.